This 497-nucleotide ribosomal RNA is filed under the name uncultured bacterium. Its description in RNAcentral is "bacterial SSU rRNA". It matches the Rfam family "Bacterial small subunit ribosomal RNA", at positions 899 to 1397 of the family's 1533-position model. The record is from RNAcentral.
ACUCAAAGGAAUUGACGGGGGCCCGCACAAGCGGUGGAGCAUGUGGUUCAAUUCGACGCAACGCGAAGAACCUUACCCAGGCUUGAACUGCGAGUGACAUCCGGCGAAAGUCGGCUUCCGCAAGGACGCUCGUAGAGGUGCUGCAUGGCUGUCGUCAGCUCGUGUCGUGAGAUGUUGGGUUAAGUCCCGCAACGAGCGCAACCCUCGUUCUCUGUUGCCAUCAGGUUAUGCUGGGCACUCUGAGGAGACUGCCGGUGACAAACCGGAGGAAGGUGGGGAUGACGUCAAGUCAGCAUGGCCUUUAUGUCUGGGGCUACACACGUGCUACAAUGGCCGGUACAAACCGCUGCGAUCCCGCGAGGGGGAGCUAAUCGGAGAAAGCCGGUCUCAGUUCGGAUUGCAGGCUGCAACCCGCCUGCAUGAAGUUGGAAUCGCUAGUAAUCGCAGAUCAGCAGGCUGCGGUGAAUACGUUCCCGGGCCUUGUACACACCGCCCGU